This 154-nucleotide long non-coding RNA is filed under the name Meriones unguiculatus (Mongolian gerbil). RNAcentral's name for it is "Nuclear enriched abundant transcript 1 conserved region 3 (ENSMUGG00000000077.1)". It matches the Rfam family "Nuclear enriched abundant transcript 1 conserved region 3". Lineage: Eukaryota; Metazoa; Chordata; Mammalia; Rodentia; Muridae. The record is from RNAcentral.
UAGUGUUCAUCAUGCCAAGCAGAUGGCACCAGGAGGAAUGGAGCCCCUGCCAGUGUGAGUCGUAGCAGUGCAGGAGGGCAGACCCUGGCGGAGACAUCGGCCUAAGUUGAUGCCCUACACAGUGAAUUCCAGAGGCUUAGGAGGUUCCGCUCCG